This 68-nucleotide transfer RNA is filed under the name Trichomalopsis sarcophagae. RNAcentral describes it as "tRNA-His". Lineage: Eukaryota; Metazoa; Arthropoda; Insecta; Hymenoptera; Pteromalidae. The record is from RNAcentral.
AUUUAAAUAAUUUAAUUAAAAUAUUGAUUUGUGGAGUCAAAAAUGUAUAUUAUAAUUUACUUUAAAUA